UCAAUCCUAAUCAGUGUUAUAAAAGCUGAAUCCUCCUGAUUUGAAGCCAUUGACAUACCGUUGAUGAUUUGCAACCAUUGCGAGGAUCUGCAAGAGAAAUGAUGUGAGAAAUGCGCUCCGCAUGUAGAUCAACAAACGGUGAUGCCCCUUCUACUUUCUAUUGUCUCUCUUCCUUUGCAACUUCGAACAUUAAUUAAGGCCAUUAUUUGGACCUGUCUACCUUACAGAUUCUGUAACAUACGCACCCAAUGCAUGCACCACACCUGUCCUGCAUAUGGAGAAAAAGCAUGCAAUUGUUUUUGUUUGGUAGCUAGCUAACCAAUCAGGAGCUGGCUAAGUUGGAUCUGUAUGUUACAGAAUCUGUAACUUAGCCAGCUCC
This 379-nucleotide long non-coding RNA is filed under the name Citrus sinensis (sweet orange). RNAcentral describes it as "long non-coding RNA (CSIN_LNC003862)". Lineage: Eukaryota; Viridiplantae; Streptophyta; Magnoliopsida; Sapindales; Rutaceae. The record is from RNAcentral.